This 415-nucleotide long non-coding RNA is filed under the name Jatropha curcas. RNAcentral's name for it is "long non-coding RNA (JCUR_LNC000766)". The record is from RNAcentral. Lineage: Eukaryota; Viridiplantae; Streptophyta; Magnoliopsida; Malpighiales; Euphorbiaceae.
UUUAUUUUAAUAUUUUAUUGCGAACACUGUGAGAAAUCGAAUCGAAAACCGAUUGAAAAAGCCGAAAACCAAUUGAAAAUCAAAAGAUUUGGGUCGAAUCGAACCGAAUCGAACCGGUUCGACCCAAACCAUCUAGAAACAUCUAUUUCUUUUCUUUUUAUCUCCAGCGCUGCACCUCUACUUCUCAUCCUCACCAGCGCCCCACCUCCACUCCACCAACACAGCCACCGCGCCUCCUCCUCCCUCUCUUCUUCUUCUUCUUCUUCUUCUUCUUCUUUCUUUCUUUCUUUCUUUCCUUUUUCUUUCUUUCUUUCCCUUUCUUCUUCCCUGCAACUGUGUCUGCGUCACUGCCAGCAACUCCAGCAACGUCGGCCGAUCACCACCGCGCGCCAGUUGCAGUCGCACCCCCCCCAUC